This 405-nucleotide ribosomal RNA is filed under the name Bacillota bacterium. Its description in RNAcentral is "Firmicutes bacterium partial 16S ribosomal RNA". It matches the Rfam family "Bacterial small subunit ribosomal RNA", at positions 355 to 776 of the family's 1533-position model. The record is from RNAcentral. Lineage: Bacteria; Bacillati; Bacillota.
CAAGGAAUCUUCCGCAAUGGGCGCAAGCCUGACGGAGCGACGCCGCGUGGGGGAGGACGCCUUUCGGGGUGUAAACCCCUUUUCUCGGGGAAGAACACAGACGGUACCCGAGGAAGAAGGACCGGCAAACUACGUGCCAGCAGCCGCGGUAAUACGUAGGGUCCGAGCGUUGUCCGGAGUUACUGGGCGUAAAGCGCGCGCAGGCGGUCAUGCGCGCCCGGCGUGAAAGCCCCCGGCUCAACCGGGGAGGGUCGUCGGGGACGGCAUGACUUGAGGGCGGUAGGGGCCGGUGGAAUCCCUGGUGUAGUGGUGAAAUGCGUAGAGAUCAGGGGGAACACCCGUGGCGAAGGCGGCCGGCUGGGCCGUCCCUGACGCUGAGGCGCGAAGGCGUGGGGAGCGAACGGG